GAGAAAAAAGAGGACGUGAAAGUGCAGCAAAUGCCAUUGGUCUGGCCUUAUGUGGGUAGCGUGCCUCAUCAUCAAUAUAUCUAUGAGGUUACGCACCCAGGAGCGCAGUACCAAGACCCCUACUCUUGUUCCAUCAUGUAAUUGCGAAACAGACACAGAAUUCCCAGUUUCCAGUUUCAAGUCUUAAGGAGACGGUUCAGAAUUCAGACAUGAGAACUUGGAACCUUGGCUGAUGAGUGAUGCUCGUGUUAAAAUCUUUUUGUUGUAGAAAUCCUGAAAUUAUUGGUUCAUGUUUGCCCAGUUGCAAUCUAAAUUAUAAC
This 320-nucleotide unclassified non-coding RNA is filed under the name Hevea brasiliensis (rubber tree). The record is from RNAcentral. Lineage: Eukaryota; Viridiplantae; Streptophyta; Magnoliopsida; Malpighiales; Euphorbiaceae.